UACGGGAGGCAGCAGUGGGGAAUAUUGCACAAUGGGCGCAAGCCUGAUGCAGCCAUGCCGCGUGUAUGAAGAAGGCCUUCGGGUUGUAAAGUACUUUCAGUCGUGAGGAAGGUGUUAAGGUUAAUAACCUUAGCAAUUGACGUUAGCGACAGAAGAAGCACCGGCUAACUCCGUGCCAGCAGCCGCGGUAAUACGGAGGGUGCGAGCGUUAAUCGGAAUUACUGGGCGUAAAGGGCACGCAGGCGGUUAAUUAAGUUGGAUGUGAAAUCCCCGGGCUUAACCUGGGAAUGGCAUUCAAGACUGGUUAGCUAGAGUCUUGUAGAGGGGGUAGAAUUCCAUGUGUAGCGGUGAAAUGCGUAGAGAUGUGGAGGAAUACCGGUGGCGAAGGCGGCCCCUGGACAAAGACUGACGCUCAUGUGCGAAAGCUGGGGAGCAAAC
This 438-nucleotide ribosomal RNA is filed under the name uncultured bacterium. RNAcentral's name for it is "bacterial SSU rRNA". It matches the Rfam family "Bacterial small subunit ribosomal RNA", at positions 340 to 773 of the family's 1533-position model. The record is from RNAcentral.